UCUGCCUGACGUAGACGCUAUUCCCUAAGAUUAACCCAUGCAUGUUUUUGACAUUUGAAAAAUGGACUGCUCAGUAAUACUCACUUUAUUUUAUGUACAUGUGAAACUAACUACGUUAAAGUGUAGAUAAGAUGUGUACAGUAAGAGUGAGACCUAUCAGCUAGUUGUUAAGGUAAUGGCUUAACAAGGCGGUGACGGGUAACGGUAUUACUUUGUAAUAUUCCGGAGAAGGAGCCUGAGAGACGGCUACUAAGUCUAAGGAUUGCAGCAGGGGCGAAACUUGACCUAUGGAUUUAUUCUGAGGCAGUUAUGGGAAGUAAUAUUAUAUUGUUUCAUAUUUUAAAAGUAUAUGAGGUGAUUAAUUGGAGGGCAAAUCAAGUGCCAGCAGCCGCGGUAAUACUUGUUCCAAGAGUGUGUAUGAUGAUUGAUGCAGUUAAAAAGUCCGUAGUUUAUGGUUAAGAAGCAAUAUGAGGUGUACUGUAUAGUUGGGAGAAAGAUGAAAUGUGACGACCC
RNAcentral lists this ribosomal RNA (513 nucleotides) under Nosema sp. TBR106. RNAcentral describes it as "SSU rRNA". It matches the Rfam family "Microsporidia small subunit ribosomal RNA", at positions 13 to 580 of the family's 1311-position model. Lineage: Eukaryota; Fungi; Microsporidia; Nosematidae. The record is from RNAcentral.